Non-coding RNA from Oryzias latipes (Japanese medaka), 46 nucleotides. Lineage: Eukaryota; Metazoa; Chordata; Actinopteri; Beloniformes; Adrianichthyidae. The record is from Rfam.
UCAUAGGUUGCUUUAGCAACCACCAUUAUAUCACGAUCUAAAGCAG